This is a long non-coding RNA of Aphidius gifuensis, 1415 nucleotides long. RefSeq lists it as uncharacterized. The record is from RefSeq and is a predicted model, not a curated record. Lineage: Eukaryota; Metazoa; Arthropoda; Insecta; Hymenoptera; Braconidae. The transcript has 3 exons.
AUUAUCAUAUAAUGAGUCAUUGUUAUUAAUCACUGAAUGUGGAAAAAAAAUAUGUGUAAAUUUUAUUUUAUAAUUGAUAAAUAAGGAAAAUUUUAUUUUAAAACCACUCGAGUUUAAAUAUAUACAUAAGGAAAACUUUUCAAAGUAUUACCAAUAAUCAUUUAUAAAUAAAACGCCAGUUAAAAUCUUAUAUAUAAAUACAGAGUUUCGAUAUAUUUAUCAUCAGUCGUAAAUUAAAGUCAACUGCAAUAAAGUAUAUUUUUUAAUUUCAUAGUAUAAUGAAGCACCAAGUGGCAUUGAUUUUUUUUAUAUCAGUUACAUUUUUUUUAUUGUCUGAGGCGCAAAAUGACUGUAGGAAAAACCACAAAGCUUGCUCAGAGAGUGUGCGAUGUUGUUCAAAGUAUUGUCGAGAUCAAAGAUGUAUUGAAUUCGGUGAUGAUCCAAGUGAUGUUAACAGAACAAACCCUUGUUUUUAUACACGAUGUUCAAGUGAUGAGGUAUGUGUCGUAAAACAAUACGAGUGCACAGAAUCACCUUGUCCAGGAAGAGCUGCAUGUGUAUCUUCUACUCCGAUAUCCAUGGAAAAUUAAUAAAUUAUAAACUUGCUGAAUUUCGCUCAAAAUGUGGUCAAAACAAUAAAAUAAUAUAUUUCAUUAAUGAAAAAUUUCAUGGUUGAAGAAAAUAGCUUCUCUUUGAUUUAAAAAAAAAUUUGCUUAUUUUAAAAAAAUUUGGAAUAAAUUUUAUUUAAAAAAUUAUUAUAUUUCACUCUUAUAUUAUCAUUAAUCCACUUAUUUUUUAUUGUACUAACAAGCUAUAUAUGUAAAACGGCUUUUCGACAAAUGCUCAAGUUUAAUCUCGGAAAAACCUGAAGAAAUUGCUGAUAUUCAAACUAGUAUAUUAAUCAGAAUAAAUACUUGACAGUAAAUUCGAAAUUAUUCAGAAACUAAUACUUUUUAUUAACUUUUUUUAUAUAAAAUAUAUAUAUACACAUGUUGAGUAAUGAUCCUUUUUUCCUAUUAACAAUUUGUAUCGAGAAUAUAAAAAAUCCAGUUAAAUUUUUGUUGUUAAUCAAAACCAAAAAUUAAUCUUGAAUUAAUUUGAGAUUGAUAGAUCUUACACUGUUUGAUUAACGAAAAAUGUAAAUUAAUGUUUAAAAAUUAAUAAUGUUUAAAAAUUGUAAAAAUCAUUUUUUUUUAAUAUAAAAUUUUUUAAUAAUGCCGUUAUAUCAAACACAAUUUAAAUGAUUUAUAUUUUAUUUAUUUUAUCGUAGAUUAUAAUUACAUUUAUUAUGAAUUUCCGAUUCUUCAAAUUACGUUUUUAAUAAAAAAAAUAAAUUAUGUUUUCUUCAUAACAUCAUAUUUUUAUCAAUUCUAUGUAUAAAUUAACAGCUAAGCAAGAUGAAUAUAAAAAUAAAA